AUGGCGGCGGUGGCCGGGAACAGCUCGGUGCCCGAGGUGGAGCUGGAGGCGCUGCGGGAGCUGCUGGAGCAGCACGGGAGCCGCUCCCCGCUGCUGCUCUACUGCAACUGCCCGGGGCUGGCGGCGCGGCUGGAGCGGCCGGAGCAGGGCGGCGAUUCCGGCGGCGACACCCGGCGCAUCGUGCUGCGCUGGCUCCGAGCCUUCCCGGGAACGCUCCACAUCCGCGAGGUGGGACCGGCCGCGGACCCGCUGGAGAGGGAGUGGAUUCAGGACCUGAGCAACUCGGUUGCAGUCUUGCCCGAGAUCACCACUAGCAGCUGGAUAAUGUGGAAACCGUCCAAGUACGAGCAGCAGGAAGCGCUGGCCCGCUGCCACCGCCAGCACGAGGGCGUGAAGGAGACCGCGGCCAGGAUGCGGAAAGUGGAAUUCUACGGAAGCGACAAGGGGGAUGCCGUGACCCAGUGGGUGCAGAACUGCCCCACGUGCAGGGAGAGCAACCCCGUUGCCAACCGCGACGCCGACCCCGACGCCCCGCAGCGGGCGCAGGGCCCCUGGUCCUGCCUGCGGAUCAGCCUCUCCCAGGCCCUUCCCGGCACUCCCGAGGGCUUCCAGGCGCUGCUGGUGGCUCAGGACGCGCUCUCGGGCUGGCUCGACGCCUUCCCGCUGCGCCAGCGCUCCGCGCCGGAGGUGACCAAAACGCUGCUCCAAGAAGUUUUCGGGCGUUUCGGGAAGGUCGAGACCGUGCUGCUGGCGCCAGCGCCCGAGUGGAUGUGGGAUUCCCUGCAGGAGCCGCCGCUGCGGGGUUUCUGGAGCCGCCCCCCCCCCCCCCCCCCCCCCCCCCCCCCCCCCCCCCCCCCCCCCCCCCCCCCCCCCCCCCCCCCCCCCCCGGCGCGGGCAGCCGCAGGCGGCGGCCGCGGGCGUGUUCAGGGCGGCGCAGGCGGCCCGGCAGGGCUGGGCCGAGGCGCUGCCGCUGAUCCUGGCCGCCAGCAGGUCCCAGUGGGUCGAGGACGGGGAGCUGCAGCCGCUGCUCUGCGUUCCCGAGCUGCCCCUGGAAGUGUGCUGGGAGUGGCCCCGCGCGGAGCGUCCCGACGAGGGGAGCGAGGAGAACGAGCUGUCCCGGCUGCGCGGGAUGCGGCUCCGGCCGCGGCCCUGGAACGAGGUGGAGGCCGAGCUCUGGAACGCGGCGGUGCCAGCCGGCACCUGGUUGUUGGGGCACCGCAAUUGGGGCGUGCCCGACCCGGGCUCCAAAUACGCCAGGGAGCCCUGCACCAUCCGCUGGAUCCAGUGCUGGAGCGCCGGAUCCGGGAUCAGAAUCCGCCAGAUCCGCAGGCAGGGGGCGCUGGAUCUGGGAUUGGGAUAUGA
RNAcentral lists this long non-coding RNA (1362 nucleotides) under Ficedula albicollis (Collared flycatcher). Its description in RNAcentral is "lncRNA (ENSFALG00000024552.1)". The record is from RNAcentral. Lineage: Eukaryota; Metazoa; Chordata; Aves; Passeriformes; Muscicapidae.